GAUGAACGCUGGCGGCGUGCCUAAUACAUGCAAGUCGAGCGAACGGACGAGAAGCUUGCUUCUCUGAUGUUAGCGGCGGACGGGUGAGUAACACGUGGAUAACCUACCUAUAAGACUGGGAUAACUUCGGGAAACCGGAGCUAAUACCGGAUAAUAUUUUGAACCGCAUGGUUCAAAAGUGAAAGACGGUCUUGCUGUCACUUAUAGAUGGAUCCGCGCUGCAUUAGCUAGUUGGUAAGGUAACGGCUUACCAAGGCAACGAUGCAUAGCCGACCUGAGAGGGUGAUCGGCCACACUGGAGCUGAGACACGGUCCAGACUCCUACGGGAGGCAGCAGUAGGGAAUCUUCCGCAAUGGGCGAAAGCCUGACGGAGCAAAGCCGCGUGAGUGAUGAAGGUCUUCGGAUCGUAAAACUCUGUUAUUAGGGAAGAACAUAUGUGUAAGUAACUGUGCACAUCUUGACGGUACCUAAUCAGAAAGCCACGGCUAACUACGUG
Molecule: ribosomal RNA, 497 nt
Filed under: uncultured bacterium
Lineage: Bacteria
Description: partial 16S ribosomal RNA
Rfam family: Bacterial small subunit ribosomal RNA
Source: RNAcentral